GGGACAGAGAUGUAUGUAGAGUAUCUUCACAUGUUAAUUAAAAUCUAGGGUCAAUUGUCAGAAAGCAGUGUUAGAACCUGAUAUCUGACUAGGGAAUUGCAAACUUUGAAUUACAUCUCUAAGAUGAGAAUGAAGGCAGGAGAUUUUCACUGUAUUAAUAUUCUGAUUAGGAGAGGUAACAUCCAGGAAUAGGUGGUAGUUUAAGAAUGGAAUCUCAGCACAGAAAAUGACGUAAGUGUCCGAUAUUUUUAUUAUCUGAAUGUGACAGAGAGGACUUCUGGAAAUAAAGCUAAAAUACAUGUGCUUUCCUCCCACUGUAUAUCUCUAAAAAAUAGUAACUUAAUUCUAAAGUUCUGCAUUUCAGUGCUAUGAACAAAACCGGCAGUGGAGGGCACCAGAAAUCUGCAGGCAUUAUAGACCACAAAGAUGUAACACUGUUGCUUAAAAUACCUUAAUAAUUAACAUACUUAUUACACUGUAAUUAACACCUUGACAUUCAUUUAGCCUGACACACCGACUGGUCCAACAAGAUUCUCAUUAAUAACUCCACCGCAAGAUGGACGUAUGGGUAGUGUAUCCUACAGAAAUUCUCAAUCAUCUGGAAUAAUGUCAAGUCAAAAUAGUAGAGCAGGAUCUACAAGAUCCACGCCUAUAAGACUACCACAUAGUGGAUGUUCACUUACAUCAUCAUCUGGAUCACAAAGUAGUAGAAGGGGGUCAUGGGCUACUUCUGAUUUCAGAACCCCCCAGUUGUACCCAUUUACAUCACCUUCCCCACAGCCCUCUGUAACAAGACCACCAAUCACCAUCUCUGGACUUCUGCAAAGACAACAUAUAGGCAAGUAUGUUUUAUAAAAUAGCA
This 862-nucleotide long non-coding RNA is filed under the name Calidris pygmaea (Spoon-billed sandpiper). RNAcentral's name for it is "lncRNA (ENSCPGG00000009572.1)". Lineage: Eukaryota; Metazoa; Chordata; Aves; Charadriiformes; Scolopacidae. The record is from RNAcentral.